Molecule: long non-coding RNA, 448 nt
Filed under: Linum usitatissimum (flax)
Lineage: Eukaryota; Viridiplantae; Streptophyta; Magnoliopsida; Malpighiales; Linaceae
Description: long non-coding RNA (LUSI_LNC003924)
Source: RNAcentral
AUAACCGCAUCAGGCACAUUCCGGUAAUUGAUGAAAAGGGAAUGAGUGGGAUGGUGUCGAUUGGUGAUGUGGUUCGUGCUGUCGUGAGGGAGCACAGGGAGGAGCUGGACCGACUGAAUGCUUACAUACAAGGAGGUUACUAAGAUAACAAUCAAUGACGAUGACGACGACAAAGGAGAUCGAGGUCCUAGUAGUGUACCUGUGCGCCAGCCCUUGGAAGAUAUGAAUAAGCCCAAGAGCCUUGUAUAUGUAGUGUUUGUAUUUCCUGGUUCUAUGUGGUGUCAGCUAGCGGAUUGGUCUGCUAAUAACGAGUAGGAGAGAACUCUUUUAUCUGCCAUGGUAGUCUGUCUUUUCUUGUUUGCUUCUUGAUGUUCACUAGUCAUUCUGCAGUUUGUACUCGAAAAUGAUGGAUGCUUUUAGUGAGCUUUUGCAUUCCGCUUUUACUGUU